GAUGAACGCUGGCGGCGUGCCUAAUACAUGCAAGUAGAACGCUGAAGCUUGGUGCUUGCCCCGAGCGGAUGAGUUGCGAACGGGUGAGUAACGCGUAGGUAACCUGCCUCUUAGCGGGGGAUAACUAUUGGAAACGAUAGCUAAUACCGCAUAAAAGUCGAUAUCGCAUGAUAUUGAUUUGAAAGGUGCAAAUGCAUCACUAAGAGAUGGACCUGCGUUGUAUUAGCUAGUUGGUGAGGUAACGGCUCACCAAGGCGACGAUACAUAGCCGACCUGAGAGGGUGAUCGGCCACACUGGGACAGAGACACGGCCCAGACUCCUACGGGAGGCAGCAGUAGGGAAUCUUCGGCAAUGGGGGCAACCCUGACCGAGCAACGCCGAGUGAGUGAAGAAGGUUGUCGGAUCGGAAAGCUCUGUUGUAAGAGAAGAACGAGUGUGAGAGUGGAAAGUUCACACUGUGACGGUAACUUACCAGAAAGGGACGGCUAACUACGUG
Molecule: ribosomal RNA, 497 nt
Filed under: uncultured bacterium
Lineage: Bacteria
Description: partial 16S ribosomal RNA
Rfam family: Bacterial small subunit ribosomal RNA
Source: RNAcentral